Molecule: ribosomal RNA, 253 nt
Filed under: uncultured bacterium
Lineage: Bacteria
Description: partial 16S ribosomal RNA
Rfam family: Bacterial small subunit ribosomal RNA
Source: RNAcentral
GACAGAGGGGGCAAGCGUUGCUCGGAAUUACUGGGCGUAAAGGGCGCGUAGGCGGGCUGGCAAGUCGGUCGUGAAAUCCCUCGGCUCAACCGAGGAACGUCGAUCGAUACUGCUGUUCUUGAGGAUUGCAGAGGAGACUGGAAUUCCCGGUGUAGCGGUGAAAUGUGUAGAGAUCGGGAGGAACAUCAGUGGCGAAGGCGGCUACCUGGCCCAAUACUGACACUCAGGUGCGACAGCGUGGGGAGCAAACAGG